GAUUCGUUAACAACAAUGCACUUUAUAAGUUUUAUUUUCGGUUCGAGUGUUGUAUAAGCGCUUGACAAGAAUAUGCUAAAUCGUAUAUGUAUAGAAGGGGAAUAUCAGACUACAUUCAGAAGUGAAAUCCUGAAUAAGCAAGCAAAAGGUAUCAGGUCAAAAUAGCAUAAUUAAGGUAGCAAAAUACAAAGAUUUUUCACUCCCAAUCAGACAGCUUUAAACUGAUGUAAUUCAUUUCAUCCUUCUUUAUAGGUUAAAAAUGAG
Molecule: long non-coding RNA, 264 nt
Filed under: Mytilus galloprovincialis (Mediterranean mussel)
Lineage: Eukaryota; Metazoa; Mollusca; Bivalvia; Mytilida; Mytilidae
Source: RNAcentral